CCUACGGGGGGCUGCAGUGGGGAAUAUUGCGCAAUGGGCGAAAGCCUGACGCAGCGACGCCGCGUGAGGGAUGAAGGUCUUCGGAUCGUAAACCUCUGUCAGCAGGGAAGAACGGUCACUGUGCUAAUCAGCAGUGAAUUGACGGUACCUGCAAAGGCAGCACCGGCUAACUCCGUGCCAGCAGCCGCGGUAAUACGGAGGGUGCGAGCGUUAAUCGGAAUUACUGGGCGUAAGGCGCUCGUAGGCGGUAUGUCAAGUCAAGGGUGAAAUCCCCGCGCUAAACGUGGGAACUGCCUUUGAAACUGGCAAACUGGAGUGUGUGAGAGGAUAGUGGAAUUCCAGGUGUAGGAGUGAAAGCCGUAGAUAUCUGGAGGAACAUCAGUGGCGAAGGCGACUAUCUGGCACAUAACUGACGCUGAGGAGCGAAAGCGUGGGUAGCAAACAGGAUUAGAUACCCUUGUAGUC
Molecule: ribosomal RNA, 465 nt
Filed under: uncultured bacterium
Lineage: Bacteria
Description: partial 16S ribosomal RNA
Rfam family: Bacterial small subunit ribosomal RNA
Source: RNAcentral